UAUAAAACAGGAUGACCCUGUCAUUCUGAUUAACAUCAGAGCAGGUGAUGGAACAGUGAUGGGGUGGGGGUGAAAUAAGUCAGAGGAGAUUAAAGCAUCCAAUAUGUUGAAGUAUUUCUAAAGAAACUUCUUCCCCUUGCAUCCUGAGAAAAAUCUACAAUUUUCAGUCAACAGUAUAAAUCUAUUACAAAACCAGCAUCUAGUCAAUGUCAUACUAUCUGUAAAGCAGACAAUUUAAAAUUCUGUCAAAAGAUUAUUAGAUUGAUUUUCCAUAUAAGCAACAGAUACUCUCUAAUAAAAAUAUAAACCCAAAUGAUGAACAUUCAAGAUUUGAGAAUUUGUGUCUAAUCUUACUUUCUUGUCUUUUAAAGCAAAAUUUGUAAAAUCAUUUGAGACGGAGAGAAGAUUAGCUGUGAGCAGCAACAGGCAGUGGGAAGGUGCUGAGUGAAAUUUUUCUUCAGUAUUGUUAAAGUAUUGUUAAAAUUGGAUGUCCUGAAUUGGCUAAUAUUUAUUGUCUUUAAAAUUUUGAACUUUUGGCUUUUGUGUUUGGGAUUAUUUCUGCUUGUUUUGUUCUUAAAACAAAAUCUUCAGAAGUUCUGUGCUUGAAUGUAUGGAAGCCAUAUGCAUUUUCCUACUAUCCAGGAUAUUGAAAGUUUAAUUGGAUGGAGAGGGGACAGAAAAAUCUGAAACCAGCUUUACAAGACAAAACGAAGUCUUGGGACUACAACCUGCUCAAGUGUCUGUGACAAAAAAAGUGGAGAUUCAGAUGCCUGAUAGCAUUGGAGACUUCAGAAGGGAAGCACCUCAAACUCCAAGUCCUACAGUUCCUUACAAGGAGUUCCAAAGGGAAGACAACCCAAAGGCAAGAAGAUAAAUAUGUCUGAGCCUUUAGGACCUGAAAAAGAAGGGAAGCCCCUUUUAAUUUCCCCUAUUGAAGUUUACCUUCAGCACUAAAGUCCAUAAUUUUCGUAUCAGAGGUAAACUACGUAGUACUGUCUAACAAUAAAAUAAAUGAACAUGAAUGAGUAGGCUUACA
Molecule: long non-coding RNA, 1036 nt
Filed under: Numida meleagris (helmeted guineafowl)
Lineage: Eukaryota; Metazoa; Chordata; Aves; Galliformes; Numididae
Description: lncRNA (ENSNMEG00000022340.1)
Source: RNAcentral